Molecule: ribosomal RNA, 460 nt
Filed under: uncultured bacterium
Lineage: Bacteria
Description: partial 16S ribosomal RNA
Rfam family: Bacterial small subunit ribosomal RNA
Source: RNAcentral
CCUACGGGUGGCAGCAGUGAGGAAUAUUGGUCAAUGGACGAGAGUCUGAACCAGCCAAGUAGCGUGAAGGAUGACUGCCCUAUGGGUUGUAAACUUCUUUUAUAUGGGAAUAAAAUGUUCCACGUGUGUGAUUUUGUAUGUACCAUAUGAAUAAGGAUCGGCUAACUCCGUGCCAGCAGCCGCGGUAAUACGGAGGAUCCGAGCGUUAUCCGGAUUUAUUGGGUUUAAAGGGAGCGUAGGUGGAUUGUUAAGUCAGUUGUGAAAGUUUGCGGCUCAACCGUAAAAUUGCAGUUGAAACUGGCAGUCUUGAGUACAGUAGAGGUGGGCGGAAUUAGUGGUGUAGCGGUGAAAUGCUUAGAUAUCACGAAGAACUCCGAUUGCGAAGGCAGUUCACUGGACUGCAACUGACACUGAGGCUCGAAAGUGUGGGUAUCAAACAGGAUGAGAUACCCCUGUAGUC